This 253-nucleotide ribosomal RNA is filed under the name uncultured bacterium. RNAcentral describes it as "partial 16S ribosomal RNA". It matches the Rfam family "Bacterial small subunit ribosomal RNA", at positions 524 to 776 of the family's 1533-position model. The record is from RNAcentral.
UACAGAGGUGGCAAGCGUUGUUCGGAAUUACUGGGCGUAAAGGGCGCGUAGGCGGUUCUGCAAGUCCUGUGUGAAAUCCCUCGGCUCAACUGGGGAACUGCACAGGAUACUGCGGGGCUUGAGUUCGGGAGAGGGAAGCGGAAUUCCGGGUGUAGCGGUGAAAUGCGUAGAUAUCCGGAGGAACACCGGUGGCGAAGGCGGCUUCCUGGACCGACACUGACGCUGAGGCGCGAGAGCUAGGGGAGCAAACGGG